RNAcentral lists this long non-coding RNA (1946 nucleotides) under Rhinopithecus bieti (black snub-nosed monkey). RNAcentral describes it as "lncRNA (ENSRBIG00000046734.1)". The record is from RNAcentral. Lineage: Eukaryota; Metazoa; Chordata; Mammalia; Primates; Cercopithecidae.
CCUGUCCCUGCCACACUGCCCUCCCCCUCAGUGACCUCCCUCGGCCUCCUGUCCCUGGCCACACUGCUCUUCUUUUGGUUGUUCAGCAGCUGUCUCUGCCUCACCAAGACUUACCAGCCAGGAGGGCUUAGCUUAAGCAUCACCCCUCGGAAGAGGCCUUCUCUAGCCUACAGUCUGAGUUAGUCCCUGGUGUCCCCGCAGCCACGGCUGCACUCGCCCAGACCAGCCUGGAAACGCGUGGAGGGAGGGCCUGGCUCUGGGUGGUCCCCACAGACCCCCAGGGCCAAGGGAGUCACGCCGUCAAUGUGUGCGACGAAGGACCGCCUGAUUUUGGGAUCCAACAGCACCUACCUGUACAUGGGAUUUCCUUCGGAGCGGGGCAGUGAGGACCUGAGCAGGUUCGAUUACAACUUCUUCCAGCUGGAGAGGGCAGCCGCGGAGGGAGUCAGUGCAGACAAACUUGCCCUCAGCAAUAUCCCAGGCUGGCCGCCCGCCUCUGCCUGUCUCUGCUGGGGCUUUCACAAGCCCUCCUGCUCCUCUUCCCGGCCCCGAUUCACCGUGCUCCGGGUGGUUCCCCCAGAAUCCAGGUGCUGCGGACGGUGGAGACAGCAAGGCAGACCCCAGUGUCCUGGCUGCGUUCCAGGACUAAUCAAACGGAUGCCACUGGUUGCAGAAGCAAAUCAAAUGAGUGAAGAGCUGAAGAAGGGACUUAACAUGGAAUUGAAGGUGAAGAAUUUGGCAUCAUCAGAUUCCAAGGGCUAUGACCUACAGAAGGAGGUCUUGGUGAAGGUGACCCACCACGGGACUCAUGAGGUGCUCCAGAAAAGGCCGUUUCACCAGCUCCACUGGCUGAUCCACUGGACCUUACUGUCAGGAAGCAAAGGCCACUGGCGCAAAGUGGCUCUGGUGCCCCGAUAUUCCACGUGCCUCUUUCCGGCCAGGCUUUCCCCUAGAAUUUGGCUUGGCAGUUUCCUGUCUCGUCAGACCUUGUUUUAAUAAAAUUUGUAAUUCUAAAAAAUCCUUUUCUAUGCUAUUCUAUUUUGUAUUAUAGUCUAAGAUAGUUCGGAAAAUAGCCUUUUAAAUUAUUGCUAGCAGAAGGGUUACUGAGUGCACAUGAAGGCACUCGUGAGCUCCUGCCUGUCAUUACCAGAAACAGGCCAGGAGACGGAGUUUUCACACUUAUCAUUGGGAGAAUUGUAUGGGAGGGCUGAGGGCCUGGAUGCAUGGUGAAAUGUCAUUUUCCUUCAGCCCAGCAUCCUGUCACUGGGACAGGCAGCUGUUUCAUAGGACUGCUUCUGCUUAAGCACACCAGGUUCUCUUUUAAGGGGUUGUACAGUUUGUUUUCCAUUUUUCUCAUGAAGAUAUGAAUCUUACCAAUCUGUCAUCCUCAAGACUGUUCAUUUUUACAUUAAAACAAGUAAGAUUAGGCCUGGCACGGUGAUUCCCAUCUGUAAUCCCAGGAUUUGGGGAGGCCAAGGUGGGUAGACGGCUUGAGCUCAGGAGUUUGAGACCAGCUUGGGCAACAUGGUGAAACCCCAUCUCUAAAAAAAUACAAAAUUAGCUGAGUAUGGUGAUGAGCACCUGUAGUCCCCGCUACUGGGGAGGCUGAGGUAGGAGAAUCACCUGAGCCUGAGGAGGUCGAGGCUACAGUGAGCUGUGAUCACACCACUAUGACUCCAGCCUGGGUGACAAAGCGAGACCCUGUCUCAAAAAAACAAGCUUAGUGCCAGUGACCUGUCCUCAGAUGAAGUCCUGCUUUCCUCAGGAGGCUUCUGGAAGGCUGUAGUCUGAGGGUCUCGUGACAUGGUGUGUAGUUGGAAGCUUCUGGAAGGCUGUGGUCUGGGGGUCUCUUGUGACGUGUGUGAAAGAACACAUUCCUCCCUAUAUCAGAGCCUUGAGCCCGACACAUCACAUCCCCCCAUAUGCCUCCACUCCUGGGCCCGACA